GACGAACGCUGGCGGCGUGCUUAACACAUGCAAGUCGAACGGAAAGGCCCUGCUUUUGUGGGGUGCUCGAGUGGCGAACGGGUGAGUAACACGUGAGUAACCUGCCCUUGACUUUGGGAUAACUUCAGGAAACUGGGGCUAAUACCGGAUAGGAGCUCCUGCUGCAUGGGGGGGGUUGGAAAGUUUCGGCGGUGGGGGAUGGACUCGCGGCUUACCAGCUUGUUGGUGGGGUAGUGGCUUACCAAGGCUUUGACGGGUAGCCGGCCUGAGAGGGUGACCGGCCACCUUGGGACUGAGGUACGGCCCAGACUCCUACGGGCGGCAGCAGUGGGGAAUAUUGCACAAUGGGCGGAAGCCUGAUGCAGCAACGCCGCGUGCGGGAUGACGGCCUUCGGGUUGUAAACCGCUUUCGCCUGUGACGAAGCGUGAGUGACGGUAAUGGGUAAAGAAGCACCGGCUAACUACGUG
This 468-nucleotide ribosomal RNA is filed under the name uncultured bacterium. RNAcentral describes it as "partial 16S ribosomal RNA". It matches the Rfam family "Bacterial small subunit ribosomal RNA", at positions 28 to 507 of the family's 1533-position model. The record is from RNAcentral.